This 682-nucleotide ribosomal RNA is filed under the name uncultured Candidatus Saccharibacteria bacterium. RNAcentral describes it as "bacterial SSU rRNA". It matches the Rfam family "Bacterial small subunit ribosomal RNA", at positions 571 to 1264 of the family's 1533-position model. Lineage: Bacteria; Candidatus Saccharimonadota. The record is from RNAcentral.
GUAGGCGGUUUAAUAAGUGAAUAGUGAAACCUGGUGGCUCAACCAUACAGACUAUUAUUCAAACUGUUAAACUCGAGAAUGGUAGAGGUAACNUGGAAUUUCUAGUGUAGGAGUGAAAUCCGUAGAUAUUAGAAGGAACACCGAUGGCGUAGGCAGGUUACUGGGCCAUUUCUGACGCUAAGGCACGAAAGCGUGGGGAGCGAACCGGAUUAGAUACCCGGGUAGUCCACGCCGUAAACGAUGGAUACUAGCUGUUGGAGGUAUCGACCCCUUCAGUAGCGAAGCUAACGCGUUAAGUAUCCCGCCUGUGGAGUACGGCCGCAAGGCUAAAACAUAAAGGAAUUGACGGGGACCCGCACAAGCGGUGGAUUAUGUUCUUUAAUUCGAUGAUAACCGAAGAACCUUACCAGGGCUUGACAUCCAGGGAAGGUCUGCGAAAGUAGACUGUGCCUUUUGGAACCCUGUGACAGGUGAUGCAUGGCCGUCGUCAGCUCGUGUCGUGAGAUGUUAGGUUAAGUCCUUCAACGAGCGCAACCCUUGUGAAUAGUUGUAUUUUUCUAUUCAGACUGCCCCGGUAACGGGGAGGAANGAGGGGGAUGAUGUCAGGUCAGUAUUUCCCUUACGUCCUGGGCUAGAAACGUAAUACAAUGGCUAGUACAAUGCGCAGCGAACCCNCGAGGUG